UAAAAUGCGUUGACAGGGAGAAAGCACUGCCAUAGCGUGUUCCAGAGAGCUGUUGGUUGCUGCAAAACAGUACACGGGCAGGUUGCGAGCUCGCCCUUGAGCAGUCAGCUGAAAGCCUGAAAAGCUUUUUAAUUUUCGGGCAAGUAGGUGUGAACGGGUUUCUCGCCGUUACAACGAGAAGGCAUUGAUUUGGGUAUAUAUUCUGUUUCGAUGCCGCAAAGGGGGUAUUUUUAUACCAAGAAGAGUGGUACCACGGAAGAAACUGGCUUUCGUCUCUGAC
This 280-nucleotide non-coding RNA is filed under the name Acetivibrio thermocellus. RNAcentral's name for it is "Clostridium thermocellum T-box sequence". It matches the Rfam family "T-box leader". From Rfam's summary of the family: Uncharged tRNA acts as the effector for transcription antitermination of genes in the T-box leader family. The record is from RNAcentral. Lineage: Bacteria; Bacillati; Bacillota; Clostridia; Acetivibrionales; Acetivibrionaceae.